ACUUCGGUGGAUUUGAUCUAUUUCUAGUGGCGGACGGGUGAGUAACGCGUGGGUAACCUGCCUUAUACAGGGGGAUAACAGUCAGAAAUGGCUGCUAAUACCGCAUAAGCGCACAGAGCUGCAUGGCUCAGUGUGAAAAACUCCGGUGGUAUAAGAUGGACCCGCGUUGGAUUAGCUAGUUGGUGGGGUAACGGCCCACCAAGGCGACGAUCCAUUGCCGGCCUGAGAGGGUGAACGGCCACAUUGGGACUGAGACACGGCCCAGACUCCUACGGGAGGCAGCAGUGGGGAAUAUUGCACAAUGGGGGAAACCCUGAUGCAGCGACGCCGCGUGAAGGAAGAAGUAUCUCGGUAUGUAAACUUCUAUCAGCAGGGAAGAUAGUGACGGUACCUGACUAAGAAGCCCCGGCUAACUACGUGCCAGCAGCCGCGGUAAUACGUAGGGGGCAAGCGUUAUCCGGAUUUACUGGGUGUAAAGGGAGCGUAGACGGUGUGGCAAGUCUGAUGUGAAAGGCAUGGGCUCAACCUGUGGACUGCAUUGGAAACUGUCAUACUUGAGUGCCGGAGGGGUAAGCGGAAUUCCUAGUGUAGCGGUGAAAUGCGUAGAUAUUAGGAGGAACACCAGUGGCGAAGGCG
RNAcentral lists this ribosomal RNA (636 nucleotides) under uncultured Lachnospiraceae bacterium. RNAcentral's name for it is "bacterial SSU rRNA". It matches the Rfam family "Bacterial small subunit ribosomal RNA", at positions 66 to 723 of the family's 1533-position model. The record is from RNAcentral. Lineage: Bacteria; Bacillati; Bacillota; Clostridia; Lachnospirales; Lachnospiraceae.